Prinia subflava (tawny-flanked prinia) is the source of this 2891-nucleotide long non-coding RNA. RefSeq lists it as uncharacterized. NCBI's taxonomy places the organism in Eukaryota, Metazoa, Chordata, Aves, Passeriformes, Cisticolidae. The transcript is spliced from 3 exons. The record is from RefSeq and is a predicted model, not a curated record.
UAAGACCUGAAUAUCUGUUUAAAAAGUGGUGAUUUUAAAAUUGAAAGUUUUCAUUAUUAUCUCUUAGUUUGUAUCAGAAAGUUCAAAAUCAAACUUCCAACAUAAAUUUAAAUAUCCCAAAACUGUGUAGUUUUAGAAGUGAAGUAAUACGAUUGCUGCAUCCUCAGAUUUAACAAACAGACAACAUCCUCUGCAUUUUCCCCCAUCCACCCUCCCUGUCAAACUGGUAAGUGUUGCAGGAGAGCACGUAACAUUUCCUCCUCUCCCCGGCAACUCAAAAGAAGGCAACAAAAGACUCAGUAAUCAAGAACUAUUCUCUGAAUGAAAAGGUCCAAUUUUACAAGAUUUAUCACAAAGUCUCUCAUUCCUCAGCAGCCCUGGCACUCUUACUCUUCUACCUCACACAGACAUUUCUGGAAUGUGUUUCAGGCUGCUGGAGAGAAAAAAAAGGUAGUUCAGCAGGAAGCAGCAGAGGGUAAAGAAAUGAAGAAUCUGAAAUCGAUCCUCUUCCUGUCCUACACAGCACAACUUCUGUCAGAAGCAUCAAGCAGAGCAGGACUAUCCCCUUGUGCUGUGCUCAGCUCUUUUGAAUGCAUCCUUACCUGUUUUCUUGGUGUGCCUUCUCACCAAAAGCAGCUCAUCCCAUGCUAGCAGCAACUAAGACAGCCUCUCUUGACUGAGCUGUCUUCAUUCAUCCCCAAAUCCAGUUCUGCUUUAUCAAGCAUGCUGGUAAUGAAGCUGCUCACCUGCAGGAGCACCUCCACUUGUCUGUCAAGACACUAGGGAAUAAGUGAAAUGGAUGACAGCCUCACCCUGUGCAUGUCACGUCAGGAUUUCUUAAACCCUGGUUUCUCCAAACUUAUUAAGUGUAGUCUUACAGGGAAAGAAGAGAAUCCAACUUGGUAGCUGACUUUUUAUUUCAUUAAUAAAAUACUAUACCUCAAAUUCAUGUUUAAGCUUACUCCACACCUGAAUCUGGCACUCACAGCAAUACUUACACCAUAAGCUUAAAAAUAAACAUUAAAAACCACCAUAAACUUAAAAAUAAUAAUUAAAAACAUCACAUGGAAAGAGUAUGGGUGGAUUUAACACAGAAGCUGUGAAAAAAGAACAACACAUACUUGAAGAAUUCAGGAGCAGCUGCAAAGUCUGGAAAAAAAGCAGAUAAGAAAGUGCUGCACUUUUAAAAUCUGGAUUCAAACCAAAACAAUAACAUCAAUGAAAAACUGUAGAUGUCAGGCAGAUAAUCCUGCAGUCAGAAGACAUGUCCCUUCUCUCCAUCCCAUAAUCCUCUUGAAAGACUUCAGCCAGACACAGUCAAAUCCCAAAAGUGCUCAGACAGAAAAUGAAGGAAAAUUACUCAUAUGUAAACUUUACAAAACACUAAAAAUCUGAGUUAAGCAACAGAACUGCCUGGAAGUUAUUAGUGCAAUUAUUUGCGCUAAUUUAUCAGUAACAGUAGUGAUACAGUGAAAAGAUUAUAUCCUGCCCAAGACUCUGAACCAGCUGCAAUUUCUGCAUCUGUUGCACAGAAAUCAAACUCUGAACAGAAGUAAAACAUACCUAACAUGAUUCACUGUGACCACUUUAAAAAGUUAUCAAAUAUUAAGCUCAUAUGUAAUUCCCAUACAUUCACAGUGUUUUCUUAUUUUGUAAGGCUGGCACUUUUCCUCAGUGACUGACCCAACGGAGACAAUUAAGGGCACUUAAACUCAGAAGUGUAUUGGCACAAUUGAAAUAGACCUAGGAACAGUUCUUUCUAAGAUGUCACAUUGCAGAUGCUGUUAAAACCAACAGAAAAUAUUCCUGACUGGCUUAAAGCAAUUGGCAUCUCAAACUGGAAAAGGAAAUUAUCCCACUGCAAUGCAGACACAAUGAAGAUGCACACCCUUAAGGAACUAAUUUCCAUCAAUUCCAAAUGCAUUUUCCAUAAUGCAAAUGAAAAUGCUUUUGCCCAACAGCAUGCCAAAACAUGCACACAAAACCUGUAUCUUCAGUGCUCAUGUCACAAAGUGGAUGGUGCUUAGGUGGGGAAGGUGGCAAACCAUGAGAGAGAAAGUAAGGGAUAGGCUAAGUUACAAGUUUGUUUAAAUCCAGGAUUUGAAGAAGGUAUGAUCUAAUAGUUUGAAAAGUACUUCAAAUAUGCUUUUGAACAUGACAUAAGACUAAAAAGCCUAGGCUUUUUUGGCAUAGGAGGAUAUAAUUUUUUCUCCAGGAUUAUGGCAAUCCCACUAGGGUACCUAUGCUCAGCACAUCACACCCCAGCUACCCUGUAGCCUCAGAAUGCUCCGUCUGGCUGGCAUCCAUGCCAGACACUUCCACCCGCCACUUGCCACAGAUGUGCCCAAAUCCCAUCCCUGAUCACAGCCAGAUUCCACCCCAUGGCUGUGGCUUGGCUGAGAUGCUCCUAGGGUCUGGAGGACCAGCAGUGGGUAUGGGGAUCAGGAAGGAGAGAGCCACAAAGGAGAAAGCAGGAACACACAAGUGCUGGCUGGAAUAAAGUGUCUUCCUGUUCAUUCCAAGGACCUUUAAUUUCCUCUCACAGAUGGCAAGAUCACUGACAUAGAACCAAAAGUAAAACAGUUCAAGAGCAAGCCAGCAAUCUACAGUCCUGCAUUGUAUCAUGAGCUACUCAUGCAUUCGAUACUGCAUCAGAAGUACAUCACUGAGGCUACCAAGACAACCUGUCCACUGCUGGAUAAUGCAAGAAUUCGAGCUGUUGUACUGCAUCCAUUAGGCCAUCCAAUGGAGAUUGAUUUAUUGCAACAGAAUACACCCAACUAACUAUUAGUGAUAAUAAGCUAGAUUGCUUUUAGCCACCAAGUCCUGUGCAGCCUUAAUGCUUUAUUUAUCACAAACCUCUCAAAAGUGUGUCCUAAACUGACUUUUAU